This 8024-nucleotide long non-coding RNA is filed under the name Eucalyptus grandis. RNAcentral describes it as "long non-coding RNA (EGRA_LNC006552)". Lineage: Eukaryota; Viridiplantae; Streptophyta; Magnoliopsida; Myrtales; Myrtaceae. The record is from RNAcentral.
GUCCCCGUCAUCUACUUCACUCUCCUCUCCCUCGGCAUCGUCGUGUCCCCGGCGAACCCCCUGAGCUCCGCCUCCGAGACCCGCCACCUGGUCGGGCUCAGCAAGCCCGUCCUCGCUUUCGUCACCUCCCAAGCAGCUCACAAGCUGCCUACGCUCAGGCACGGCACCAUCCUCAUCGACUCGCCCGAGUUCGAGUCCGUUUUGACCCGGAGCGGCCUGAAGGAGACCGAUCCCGUUCUCCGCAAUGUCAACCGGGUCACGCAGGUCGACCCCGCGACGAUUCUCUACUCUUCGGGUACGACGGGCCGGGUCAAGGGCGUACUCAUGACCCACGGAAACAUGAUCGCGGGGGUCGCCGGCGCUCGCCAACCCGAGCCAGGCCCAAAGCCCGUUUGGCUGUUUCCGCUUCCCCUGUUCCACGUGUAUGGUUUUGCGUCGAUAUUGAGAGCCUUUGGGAUGGGGGCGACCGUGGUUUUGAUGGGCAAGUUCGAGUUUGAGGCCAUGCUGAAGGCCGUGGAGAAGUAUAGAGUCGGCUUGUUGCCGGUGUCGCCGCCGGUCGUGCUAGCGUUGGUGAAGUCGGAGCUGAUCGGGAAGUAUGACCUCAGCUCACUCCACACCGUCAUGUGCGGCGGAGCGCCGCUUGGGAAGGAGGUUUCCCAGCGGUUCCAGCAGCAAUUCCCUAACGUGGAGCUGGUGCAGGUAAAAUGCCAUUAGUGUUAAAAGAUAUUAAAAUAAGCAUAACUUCCAUAUUUUGUAAUUUAUUUGGCCAAAAAAAUAGUUAGCCCUUUAAUUUUAGGAUUAAUACAAAAAAAAAACUUUAAAGUAAUGCAUCUGUUACAAAUUUACCAUAAAAUAAUUUUUUGACCACAAAAAAUCCGAAAUUGGUAUAUUUGUGAUAUUAAUUUUCAUUAUAUUUUAUUGUCAAAUUAUUGAGUUAGAUGACAUGUAACAAUUGACGAGUAUGUCGGUUUUGGAUUUUUUCCUCCGAUCCUAGUUUGUGGUGUUUAGUUAUAUUAAUUUAAUUUAACGGAAAUUAAUAGAUAACAAAUUUGUCACAAAUUUUUUGUAGGUAAAAAAUUAUUAUUUGGCAAAUUUUGUCACAAACAUAUAAGUUUGAAAUUUUUCGUGAUAUUAAUUCUUAAUUUUAAUCCCGAAAAAGAAAUGGCUGACUUCGAUGAAAAUAAAAACUGACCUAAAAUCACUGCUGGCUUUGGACAUCAUUGGUAAUCCAUAUAGAACACGAUACUUGUUUUCCUCCAUUUCAUGCUAUGUCAAGGUGACAAAGAUUAGUUUUUGCAUAUUUACUAAAUUGGUUUCAAUUCAGUCCAAAGGUGAAAUCCCUAUGCCAAAACUCAUGAGAUAUGUAAGGAAUUACCGGUAUUAUUAAUGUACAGGUAAAAACCAAACUAAAGUCUUAAGCCCCAAAUCAUUUAGUACUAGACCAAUUACUUACAUGCCAAAAUGCUUGGGCAUGAUUUCUUUAUUUAUUUAAGUACGACUUUUUAACUAUGUGGCACUCAAUAACUUUUUUUUUCCAAUUACUUGAGUGUAAUAUUACUUUUCAAUUGAUUAUUUGAGUGCAAAAAAUUCUUAAAAACGUUCACCACAAGUGUUAUGCCAUGUUAGAUUUCUAGAAUUUGGGUGAAUGUUUUUAAGAAGUUUUGGUAGUGAUCAAAUGAAAGUUAUGGUACAUAAGUGAAUGUUUUUCUUUUUAAAGUUAUCACACUUGAGUGGUCGAAAAAAAAGUUAUGACACUUAAGUGAGUCUCAUUUGAAAAUUAUGGUACUUAUAGUGUUCUUAUCCCGCCAAUGAGUGAUGAGCACUACCUAACCGAUUGCAUUAUAUGACCUCAAUUUGAAAUUACCCAACGACGGAUCUUAAGAUAAAAUUGUUGCAUCAGAUAUAUUAAAUCAACAAUCACUCAAUGCAUUACGUUCAUUGAAUUACACUAUAACUCAAUUUGGUAUUCAUAGGCUUACCCCCAUAGGUACCGCAUCCGUACCAUGACAGUGCUGUGCUAGAAAUUUGGAUGACGACGACAUGAAAGAAUUGAAGAACAUGAGGAAGUAGAUACGGGCACAUAGUUUUGAGUUGAUGGAUGCAAAAGAUCAAUAGAUGUAAAUGACUAAUGGCUUUUUCUACAUCGACAUGUCCAAAUGAACUUUUCAGAGUUAUGCAUUGACAGAGAGCCUCUUAGGAAGUAGGAUGAUGGGGCCUGAUGAGACCAAGCAAUACGGCUCCAUUGGUCGCCUUGCCGAGUAUAUGGAAGCCAAAAUAGUCGAUCCUGUUACUGGAGAUCCUGUUACUGGAGAAGCUCUACCUCCUGGCUGCAAAGGCGAAUUGUGGCUGCGUGGCCCAGCCAUCAUGAAAGGUCGAUAGUCAUACCACAAUCUCUCAUCCUGGAUUGCUUUCCUUCUGGAAUCUGUGAAUAAAACCUAUCUGGAGAUCUGUUGCACAUUUUGUUCAAGCACCAUAAAGUUAGGAAAUGCCCAGUCUUUCUAUUGAAACACUGACUCGCUUACAAAAAUUGCAGCACAAAAUUAGAUAUCCCGGUUUCCUCGGACAUCGUCAAUUACUACGCUGCUUCCUGCAUAAGGAUUUCUCAUUUCACUGCUGGAACUCCUCUUUGAGCUUCACGUAUCACUUGUGAAACUCAGAUGUUCUGAAUCUCUCUGAUUCCAUUUAGGUUAUGUUGGAGAUGAAAAGGCGACGGCUGAGACAUUGGAUCCUGACGGUUGGCUAAAAACUGGCGAUCUUUGUUACUUUGACUCGGAGGGGUUCCUCUACAUUGUAGAUAGGCUAAAGGAAUUGAUAAAAUACAAGGCAUAUCAGGUAGCUUCUGUCGUAAGGAAUCUUUUGCUGGUGAAAUCUGAUGCUUUGCAUUUUUCCCUAAUCAGAUUUUGUCAUCUCAAUCUCAUUCCUACAGGUUCCACCUGCUGAAUCGGAGCAUUUACUUCAAUCUUAUCAACAAAUUGCAGAAGCUGCAGUUAUACCGUAUGCUCCAGUGCUUGUCUUAUGACCUUUAUAGAUGCAUUGAGAGUUUUUUUUUUGGGGUCAAACAUGGAUGCAUAGAGUUUUCAUGAGCAAAAAGUCUCAUUUUAUUUUUAUUUACCAUUCACUGACCUUUUAAUUACUUGGAGGACAUGCAAAGUAUUGGUGAGUCGAUGUUUAAAAGGUCGAGAGUUAUCCUACCAUUGUGUGGAAUGAUGAUUGACAGAAGAUGUACUAUUGCGAUCGCAUUUACUUUUGAGGCAAAUCUUUAUCUGCUUAUAAUGGACUCGUCGAACUUUGGUGUGUUGUGAAAUCCAUAAAUGUGCUUUCUUUUUGGCUAAGUGGCUCAUUGCGUAAGAAACCAACGAGACUAAUCCAAGUGUAUUGUUUGGGAUCAGGUAUCCUGAUGAAGAGGCAGGGCAGGUUCCAAUGGCUUUCGUGGUGAGGAAGCCUGGUGCAUGCGUUACAGAAUCUGAAAUCAUGGAUUUCAUUGCUGAACAGGUAUGGUCCUCCUGGAUUCAUCUGUUUUGGAAGACUCUUCUUCAGUUUUUAGAUUUUCCCAGGGAAAUAGAGGAGUUGAUGUCCUGAAGAUACUAAAUGCAAACGCUGAGGCACCUAUUCAUUGGCUAUGAGAAAAACUGACUUUAUUUUUCUCGAUAUCAUAGGGGACACUAUUUGAUUCCCAAUCACCGACUUGCUAGGCACCUGGUGUUCUUAACAGCAUGCAGGGCGAUUGGUCGAGUACCCCAACGAGUCUUAAUAUCGCCUAUGAAAGCAUCUGCUCCAACCCUUGUUCUAGUCCAUGCUGCUAAUGUUCUUCUUUCCUCCCCUUUAACCCCAAUUUGUCACUUAACAUUUCGGCGAGCUGUCAGUGCUACUAGAUCUAUCCAACAAAAUGGGCGUGGUCGUUUGUACUAUACCUUUGUUUCACUUGCUAUAGCUUACUUGGGUAACAUAGCUCAAUCAGAAAACUUGUUCCAUUUAAGUAGCACAGAGCGAAUUUGCAGUGUGUUCAGCCUGGUCCAAACCCAUAGACAACCCUACUCUAUUCUCUGAUUACGUUAAACUGGAUUGGCAGGUCGCUCCAUACAAGAAGAUAAGGCGUGUCGCUUUUAUCAGUAGCAUCCCCACAAAUUCUGCGGGAAAGAUCUUGAGAAGGGAGCUCAUCAAUCAUGCUUUAUCUGCUGGUUCAGCUAGAUUGUAAAUCUUUGACCAGGAAAAGAAGUCCGAUUCUACUUUUAAGUAAAACAGGCCAUUGUUAUCAGUUCUCUGUAUUUGGCAAUUUGCUGCUCUAUGGUAUUAAUGUUGUACUUGUUUUUGGAAGUGAUUCACCAUUCCUUACCAAAGACAGAUAAACCCGGCGAAAUGUGUAAUCCCAACUGAAUCUUAUACCAGUUCUUUAGAGAAACCGUGCUUGUUAAUACUGGUCUAAAGUGGUUGAGUUCAAUUCCCCACUUGGGUCCUUAUAUUCUUGUGUCGUGUUUUGUCAUUGUUUUUUUGAUGAAAUAUGCCAUUAUCAUCACCCUCUGCGUUUGGUGCUCCAUGGGAUGCAAGAUUUAGUACCAGUGGUUGGAAAUGAUUGAUCAUUCCUAGCAGAAGACACGUUACAAAUCCAAAAUUCAGGGCAGCCCCUUGUGAUAUGUGUACAUGGCUGUGUAAGUGUCUAGUCUCUCUUGCCCCUGGCUCUGAUUUUAUUUUGCUCAUUCCCUCCUAUUGAAAUGCGAUGUUGAUCUAGGAAACUUGUCGUUUAUAAAUGCGAGUUGAGUUUUAGAUCACAUCAAGCGAUAGUGGAAUAUUUCAACAACGCUGAUAAACAAUAAUACCUAAUGAUUUUAGUUGUCUAAAUGGUCGAGCUCGAGUCGCUUUAGAUGCAAAGGUUGGUCAUAUUGUGUUUCCGAGUUAAAUAAUCAGUUUCCUCGGCCCAACCUGCCACCACAGCGUUCAGCUAAAUGGGUACUAAAUUUCCUUGUGCUUGGACAAGGCAGGAGCAUACACACAAGCAUUCAUGUCACGACUCUGAAGUCAAAACUGAUUGUAGGCGGUCCUCUAUGUGAACUUGACUCAUUUUCAAAUUGUAGAGUCCUAAAAUAUUUGGCUCAAUGUUCAAUCAAAUUCUAAAUGUUCAAAUUUAUUCAAUCAUGUUCUAAAUAUUUUGAAUUUACAUAGUAAUUAGCAACCUAUAUUAAAUCUUCUGAGAACUUUACUUUGAAUUUUAUUAUGACAAGUCAAAUUGCUGCAACAAGACUCUGUUUGCAAGUUACAAAAAGUAAGGAUGAUUACAAAUUACAAUCGUCAAAAAGUAGUGCUUGCUUUAUUUACUAACGACAAUGGCAAUUACAGACCCGUAAAGGAAUAGUACUAUUUUUAAGGAAAAUGACUUCGUCUUUGGUAAACUAUUGUUUCUGAGGAAAAUUACUUCCUUCGGAAGGCACAUUUACUUUCAUUCUUUAUGACUUACAGGAAAAUUAUCCCCAUGAUGUUUACGAAAAUUUAGGUUAAUGGUUAAGUGAUUAGAAUUUUCACCUCACGCGAUCUGUAGUCAAAUUACUAUCCUCGACUGUAAUUGCUAACUACAAGUGUAACUAAACUAUGAGGAAUUUGAGAAAAAUUAUACCCCACGAAGGAGACCGAUGGAGCAAACUUACUACUUUUAAAUAAAAUUAGUUGCACUUAGAAAACAUGUUACUAAUUUUCAUUUAUGAAAACUUAUAGGGAAAUUACUAUUACAAUUGUUGAGGAUGGUUGAGACAAUUUCAGAUUAAGUACUCGUAGCAAUUUUAAGUUAUGAAAUCAAUAGCCUAAUAGCUACUUGUAAAAGUUCUAAGUGCUAUUGAUUCAUUGCAUGUUCGGAGAAAUUGCGAUUUAUAGAAGUAAAAUUACUAACAUAAAGUGAAACUGACAUUUUCAUGUAUUAAAAAAGAGAAUGAGAAAAUGAGAGAAAAUUCAAAAUAUCGUGUAGACUUCUUGAGGGUUGAACGCAUACCCGAUCUAUCUUAUUAUCAUCUAUAUAGAUUAAUCAAAAGUCUUAUUUAGCACUAUCGUUGAAUUUUUUUCUCAUGAUUCAAUGUUUGAAAUGCAUCAAAGGAAGGACCUAAUAAUCGAGCGAUGUUGAAUAAAAUAAUAUUGAUUUACAAAAUUAAUAUGUUAAAUGAUAUGAAAUGUAAAUAGUCGUUUAGAUAAUUAGGUCAUGUAUAAUAUCAAUACCACGUAGCAUUUCUUUCACAAUAAAUGCUUGAGUUGUUUGGCACAUCAAUUAAAAUCCUUUCAUAAUGAAAGGAAAAACAACAUAAAUUAUCUUUGAACUUUGACUCAAUGCGUAAUGUUAUCUCUAAAUUUUUAAUUUGUUCAACAUGAUCGCCAAACUCUAAUCUAAUGUGCAAUGUCAUCCCUAAACAUUUAAAUUAUGUAAUGUGCUACUUGAAAUUUUUGUAUAUGUUCAAUUUACUCCUUGAAUUAUAUGAAAAUAUUUAGUGUUGUCUUUAAAUCAUAUGAAAAUAUUCAGGGAUUAUAUUGAACAUUUAUUAAAAAUUCGGACUACAUUGAACAAAUUAAAAGAUCAGGAUAAUAUUGCACAUUUGACUAAUAUUUAGAGAUUAUAUUGAAUAAAUUCAAAAUUUAGCAUCACGUGAAAUUAUUUGUGUAAUUAUUAUGCCUGACGAAAACUCAAAUCAUUAGGAACAUCAAUUAAGCAUGUGCACGUUUUCCCACCUAGAAGCUCCUGUGCUUCACUUUGACUCUCUCUUUCUCUCUCUCUCUUCCCCUUUGUGCUUUCUUUGCAUUCAUCAAUGGCGUCAAUGCAGAUGGAGGAGAACCCUAGCCAUCAUGUGAAAUCAAGGGCCACAUUCUUGAUACGCUUCUACUUGGAUCAAGCUUCAUUCAAUCUCUCUCUCUACAUCGAGUAAUUCUCGUCACUUUUUUUUUCGAUUUGAUAAUUCGAAAAAAGUUUUGAAUCUCUACUUUCCUCGUUCUCUUUUUCAGAUUUACAGAGCUUUUGGAUUGCCAUCGUCAUAUCCCAACUUAAUAAAAAUAAAGGCAUGAAUACGGUAUCAACAUAACCAAAAUUUAAUUUGAUAUUAAUAUAUAUAUAUAACAAAAACGACAUUUGGUUACUAGAGUUUACUUGCAAACUCUGAUAUAGUAAACUUAUCAACUAUAAACUGCAGAAUCAAUAUAUAAUGCCCUCAUCAAAAGCAAACUCUGAUAUAGUAAACUUAUCAACUAUAAACUGCAUAAUCAAUAUAUACACGCCUUCAUCAAAAAUUAACUCGCAAACCUAUCAACUAUAUACUCAUGCCAAAAAUCCCCACCACAAAAAAGUCAACUAUAAACCGCACAAUCAAUAUACACUCCUCCUCCUCCUCCUUGCCGUUCCUCGUCGACGCCGCCACCGGCCACCGGAUCACCUACCCGCGCUUCCUCUCGCAAUGCCGCGCCCUCUCUGCCUUCCUCGCGAGCCGCUUCCCUUCCCUCUCCAAGAACGACGUCGCCCUCGUCCUCCCUUCUCCUUCCCUCCACGUCCCCGUCAUCUACUUCACUCUCCUCUCCCUCCGCAUCGUCGUGUCCCCCGCGAACCCCGCUGAGCUCCGCCUCCGAGAUCCACCACCUGGUCGGGCUCAGCCAGCCCGUCCUCGCUUUCGUCACCUCCCAAGCAGCUCACAAGCUGCCUACGCUCAGGCACGGCACCAUCCUCAUCGACUCGCCCCAGUUCGAGUCCGUUUUGUCCCGGACCGGACUGAAGGAGACCGAUCCCGUUCUCCGCAAUGUCAACCGGGUCACGCAGGCCGACCCCGCGACGAUUCUCUACUCUUCGGGCACGACAGGCCGGGUCAAGGGCGUCCUCAUGACCCACGGAAACAUGAUCGCGGGGCUUGCCAGCGCUCGCCAAGCCGAGCCAGGCGCGAAGCCCGUUUUGCUGUUUCCACUUCCCCUGUUCCACGUGUAUGGCUUUGCGGGGAUAUUGAAGGCCUUUGGGAUAGGGGCGACCGUGGUUUUGAUGGGGAAGUUCGAGCUUGAGGCCAUGCUGAAGGCCGUGG